Gastrolobium bilobum is the source of this 1878-nucleotide long non-coding RNA. RefSeq lists it as uncharacterized. The record is from RefSeq and is a predicted model, not a curated record. Lineage: Eukaryota; Viridiplantae; Streptophyta; Magnoliopsida; Fabales; Fabaceae. The transcript has 3 exons.
GUGGACCAAGUAUUCGUACCUCCAUGUCCCAAAGACUGACCCUUCUUCUUAGGUUCUUAAACCUUCAAACAGAAAAGAAUCAAUGGCAGCCCUACUUCACUAAAUCGCAAACUCCAUGACAAGAAAUAAGAGCAUUUAGACUUGCAAACAUUUCUCCCAUCCUCUUCCCUAAACCGCAAGCCACUCAUGAGAAAGCAAUUCGAUCUUGUUGCGCAGCUGAGUCAAAACUAUGACCAGCUUGAACUCUUCUUUCCCCUUGUACGCCACACCUCCAACCGAAGGCCUGCAUCAAUUCCCCUCUAUCCAUGCCCACUGUUAUGAACAACAAGUCUGAGUUUCUUCUGUAUAUUUAGAACGAAAAAACUGAGCCUAUGAAUCCCUCACAAGAACCGUGAUGCUCUCAUGAGAAGGACCGACAUGCAAGCUUUCAUCCCCUUCACUCACUGGUCGGCUGAAUGCAGCAGCUAAGGGGACUGCACACUAGCCUUCCAGCCACACUCUUUCUCUUGUUCGACCAAAGGGGGCUCUAAGGAGGUGAAGUAAAUGUACUGUUUUCUUGUCCCUUCCCACCGUACCGGUCUGAUUAAACUUCUUUCCCUUGUUGCAUGCUCAUGUCCCAACCGUGAAUGGAGUCCAUUUUCCUCUGCAUGCAACUGGUUUCGGCCUUUGGAAGUUAGGAAGGGGAGUGGUAGGCUGUCCCUUGCGCAAUUGAGGAUCCGUGAGGGUUAGGCAAGGAGGUGCACGUAACUCUUAUUGAGUGGGCUGAAUUUUGGUGCUGUUGAUUAUUGCAUGGACAUAAGGAGGACAGAAGAUCAUUGGAAGACAUGAUAAUAUGGAUAUUUACUGUUAUGUGCUGCUGUAUGGACUAUUGUUGUUGCUGUUUAUUUGAUGGAUGACUGUAUUAAAUUGAGUAGUUUGGAUUACCGUUGAAUUAUGAUUUUAUUACUAUUUUUAAGUCUUUUGUGAUCAGCAAGUAUUUUGAAAACAAAUUCCUGAAACGUUUUGCGAAAAUAAUUUCUGAGGUUUUUGAAUGCUGAUUUUCUAAACAGAUUUAACGAGCACUUUACGAGUUAUAUUUAGUGGGGCUACAGACUUCCGAUUCACUUAUAUUUUAUAUGCACGCGAAGCCCCACGUGUCUAUUUUCAGAUUAUGUAAAUGUUACAAUGGAAUUUUGAAAACUAGAUUUUAUACGAAUUUUUCAAGACAGCAACGUCUGUCGGGAAAAUAAUAAUUUCAGCAAGUUAAGAAUUUUGAAAGUAUACUCUGAUUUUUGUCAGUAAUCUGAUUUCAACUAUGUGUUUUAAUUAGGAACGUCAAAAUGAUUUUUCAAUACAUAAAAUUGUGACGAACGAACUCUAAUUCCGCUUAGCAAACAACUCUCUUGGAUGCAUACAAGGGAGGGUGUUACACUAAUUGGUAUCAGAGCAGGGCCUCUCUUCUAGUACGGUGUGGUUCGAGGACGAACCAGGCGGAAGUUGGUGAGCAUGUAACAUCCCGAGCGCUGACGAGGGUGGGGAGUGAUCGCCGGUGCAAAGAGGCACGGACAAGGAGCGGCUCCUGACAGACUUCCAGUGGGGUUACAUGCAUGAAUGAAUCGAAUCGACACCCGAAAGAGAGGGAUUCCAAAGGCUGUGCAGGUAUAAGGCUGCACAGUUUGGGAUAACUUAUAAGAAUUAAUUGGUACUACCUAUGCUAACAAGAUGCAUCUGCUUUUCGGUAGCCCGGAUCGGAAGAACUCCACAGUUAAGCGUGCUUGACUUGGAGCAAUUCUGGAAUGGGUGGCCUCCUGGGAAGUUUUCCUGGGAAGUGUGCGAGUGACGAAAAAGCACACUGAAAAGUCUCGUGUUAGUAUGUGGGGAUAGUCAUUGAUUCUUGAC